Molecule: long non-coding RNA, 397 nt
Filed under: Nicotiana benthamiana
Lineage: Eukaryota; Viridiplantae; Streptophyta; Magnoliopsida; Solanales; Solanaceae
Description: long non-coding RNA (NBEN_LNC039699)
Source: RNAcentral
CUCUCUAUAUGUUUAUGGUUGAGUUAUGGGCAUUCCAGCACCAUCCAUUGCUGUGCAUUCCCAAACUUGAUCGCUACCUAAGGACAUAUGCUCCCUGCAAUGUAUUCCCAAACCCCUAUCCCUCUAUAUUCUACACUCAUGUUUAAUUCUCUAUUCCUGCACCCCCACCUUAUUUUUAGACUUAGGUUCUACCCCUUUUAUGUGAGCCUUGACUUGCGACCCAUGAGCUCCCUCUAAACUUGGACACAUAAUGGCUGGCCCUUCUACACUGCACUUAUCUCUAUCUGGUUCUGCAAACUUGGGUAUAAGCACUGCCCCGUGCCCUUUGAGACCCUUAGGGAACUUUGACAUACCCAGGUCUCAGAAAGGCUUUGAACAAAUAGAAUUUGAGGUGGCU